GAUGAACGCUGGCGGCGUGCCUAAUACAUGCAAGUCGAGCUAACGGACGAGAAGCUUGCUUCUCUGAUGUUAGCGGCGGACGGGUGAGUAACACGUGGAUAACCUACCUAUAAGACUGGGAUAACUUCGGGAAACCGGAGCUAAUACCGGAUGAUAUUUUGAACCGCAUGGUUCAAAAGUGAAAGACGGUCUUGCUGUCACUUAUAGAUGGAUCCGCGCUGCAUUAGCUAGUUGGUAAGGUAACGGCUUACCAAGGCAACGAUGCAUAGCCGACCUGAGAGGGUGAUCGGCCACACUGGAACUGAGACACGGUCCAGACUCCUACGGGAGGCAGCAGUAGGGAAUCUUCCGCAAUGGGCGAAAGCCUGACGGAGCAACGCCGCGUGAGUGAUGAAGGUCUUCGGAUCGUAAAACUCUGUUAUUAGGGAAGAACAUAUGUGUAAGUAACUGUGCACAUCUUGACGGUACCUAAUCAGAAAGCCACGGCUAACUACGUG
This 497-nucleotide ribosomal RNA is filed under the name uncultured bacterium. Its description in RNAcentral is "partial 16S ribosomal RNA". It matches the Rfam family "Bacterial small subunit ribosomal RNA", at positions 28 to 507 of the family's 1533-position model. The record is from RNAcentral.